GGCUCCAUGUCACAGAUCAUGGUGCAUUGAGCAGCAGCUGUCAGUCCGGAGAUCUCAAGAUGAAGUCACACACACUGCUCAUCUGGAUGCUAGUCUUUUUUAUGAAGGAUGCCAGCGGGCAGAUUGUGAUGACCCAGACGCCAGAAUCCCUCUCAGUGUCUCCAGGAGACAGAGUUACCAUCAACUGCAAAGCCAGUACAAGCAUCAGCAGCAACAUAGCCUGGUACCAACAGAAAUCAGGACAAGCUCCUAAGCUCUUGUUCUAUGGUUCUUCCACCCGUCCCUCUGGGGUCCCAGACCGGUUCAGCGGCAGUGGGUCGGGCACUGACUACACAUUCACCAUCAGCAGGGUUGAAGCAGAUGAUGCUGGAGAUUAUUAUUGUCAGCAGUAUAACAGCUGGCCUCUCACAGUGAUACAGACCAGCACAAAAACCUCCCUGUUCUGUUUAGUUUCAGACUUUCACUCAAUGUUUCAGCUGCUUCCUGUGCAGCAUCCUUACAGCAUUGCCUCUGCUGCCCUGCAAUGGGGUAGCUGAGUGAGACAGACUUUGGUCACCUCCCUCCACACUCAAGAACUCCCAGUCCUUUCAGGAGCUCACACCAGGCGUCCAGCACUCUUUACUCACCAGUUGCUCCCCAACCACUAACAUGGAUUUGCUCUUCUGAGUUGCAUCCAACUUCCU
Non-coding RNA from Mauremys mutica (yellowpond turtle), 683 nucleotides. The record is from the annotation of a RefSeq genome assembly. Lineage: Eukaryota; Metazoa; Chordata; Testudines; Geoemydidae.